ACUCGACGAGUAUAGACAUCCUGACACCACUCGCCGAGUCUGAAGAACGACUCGACGAGUUCCAGUAGAUCUUCAAGCUACUCGCCGAGUCUGAAGAACAACUCGACGAGUCCUAGUGAACCUUCAAGCUACUCGCCGAGUCUGAAGAACAACUCGGCGAGUUCUAGUGAAUCUUCAAGCUACUCGCCGAGUCUGAUCAUUGGACUCGGCGAGUCCUCGCCAUGCAGUCAAUCCGCUGCCUCCUGUAUUUCGCAUGAUUUCGAAGUAUAUAGAUAUAGGGCUUCCUGGACUUUCACAUAUACUAUUACAGGGGUUUUUAACACUUAUAACAACAAUAUAAUCCAACUAACCCUUAAUUGGGUUUCCUAAACCCUAAACUCGCAUACAACGUAAAAGUUACAGAUUUCGAUCCGAAGAUUACCUGGAAACGUGUUCCCUGUGUCUCCAAACCUCCAGUACUCGAUUCCUUUGAUCACCACCUUGCUCCUCCUUGUCUAACAAUCUCUUCAAGCCUUCUCAAGUCCUCUCUCUUGCUUCAGAUGCUCACACACUCCCAGGGGAUCUUCAACCGGCCAAAAGACGCGACAUGACGGCCAUAAGAUCGUUAUAUACGAUCAGAAAUGAAACGGCUAGGGUUCAGCUGAACAGCGUCGACUCGCCGAGUCCCUUAUUGGACUCGUCGAGUCCAGUCGCGCGUCUGCGACCAAGACCAUGGCCCUACUCGGCGAGUCGUGCACCAACUCGCCGAGUCCCCUCCUAAAUGUGCCCCAAAAAUAAUUUAAAGAAAUACCUGAAAUUCCGGGCUGUUACAACUCUCCCCCACUAGAACUAGACUUCGCCCUCGAAGUCUCUCAUUCUGCGAAUAACUCCGGAUGUUGCUCCCGCAUUUCUCUUUCCGGCUCCCAAGUCAUCUCCGAUCCCUUCCGAUGUUGCCACUGAACUAACACCAGAGGUAUUUCCUUGUUCCGAAGAACCUUGAUCUUCCGAUCUCUGAUAGCUACUGGUCUCUCGGCGUAAUUCAGACUCGCAUCUACCUGGAUAUCUUCUAACGGAACCACUGCUGCCUCAUCGGCUAUACACUUCCUCAGCUGUGAUACGUGGAAGGUAUUGUGAAUCUGAUUCAGCUCCGCUGGCAACUCCAACCGAUAAGCUACCCGACCUACCCUUGCAAUUACCCGAAAUGGACCUAUGAACCGGGGCCCCAAUUUGCCCCUCUUCCUGAACCGAAUCACCCCUUUCCAAGGAGAAACCUUUAAGAGAACGAAGUCGCCGACCUGGAAUUCGAGUUCGGACCGGCGUCUGUCCGUAUAACUCUUCUGUCGGCUCUGGGCGGUCAAUAACCUCUGCCUCACCCGUUUGAUCUGCUCAGCCGUUUGAAGUACGAUCUCUGUACUGCCCAUCACUCUAUGUCCCACUUCUCCCCAGCAAAUGGGAGUCCGACACCUCCUACCAUACAACAACUCAAAAGGUGGCAUACCAAUGCUCGAAUGAUGGCUGUUGUUGUAGGAAAACUCAGCCAGCGGCAGAUGCGCAUCCCAGCUACCCCCGAAGUCUAACCAUCUCCUCUGGCGCAUGUUUAGGUUGGGUUGAUCCAUCAAAUACUUCAAACUCUUAUGGUCCGUGUAUAUGGUACAACGAACCCCGUACAGGUAGUGACGCCAAAUUUUGAGGGCGAACACUACUGCCCCCAACUCUAAGUCAUGCGUGGGAUAUCUCGCUUCGUGAGGCUUCAGCUGCCUCGAUGCAUAGGCUAUCACAUGGCCCCUCUGCAUCAACACUGCACCCAGUCCUGAAAUCGAUGCGUCGCAAUAUACGACGAAGUCCUCCAUCCCUUCAGGAAGGGCUAAUACUGGUGCUUCGCACAGUCUCUGACGAAGUGUCUCGAAGGAAGUCUGCUGCUCGGGUCCCCAUGAGAAUGUAACACCCUUUCGGGUCAAUUUGGUAAGUGGCACUGCGAUCUUGGAGAAGUCCCUAAUGAACCUUCGAUAGUACCCCGCCAACCCAAGGAAACUCCUGAUCUCCGAAGGUGACUUUGGUGCCUCCCAUCUCAUCACCGCCUCCACCUUGGCCGGAUCGACCAAUAUCCCUGCCUGAUUUACAACGUGCCCCAGAAAUUGAACCUCCCGUAACCAGAAGUCACAUUUGGAGAAUUUUGCAUAUAGCUUCUCCGACCUCAGUACCUCAAGGACCUCCCUCAAAUGUCCCUCAUGCUGCUCCCUAGACCGCGAAUACACCAGAAUGUCGUCGAUGAAUACAAUCACAGACCGAUCCAGCAUCGGCCUGCAUACCCUGUUCAUGAGAUCCAUGAACACUGCUGGGGCAUUGGUGAGCCCAAAAGGCAUCACCACGAACUCGUAAUGCCCAUACCGCGUCCUAAAGGCUGUCUUCUGGACGUCCUCAUCCCGCACCCUUACCUGAUGGUACCCUGAUCUCAAAUCAAUCUUGGAAAACCAAGAUGCCCCUUGCAACUGAUCGAAUAGAUCAUCGAUUCUUGGUAACGGAUAGCGGUUCUUAACUGUCACCUUGUUCAGUUCCCGGUAAUCGAUACACAUCCGGUGUGAACCAUCCUUCUUCUUGACGAACAGAAUCGGUGCUCCCCACGGCGAGCUACUCGGCCGAAUAAAUCCCUUCCCCAACAACUCUUGAAGUUGCGAGGACAAUUCUUGCAUCUCUGGAGGUGCAAGACGAUAAGGCACCUUCGCAAUAGGCGCCGCCCCUGGAACUAGGUCGAUACCAAACUCCACUUGCCUCGCAGGAGGUAUUCCCGGCAAAUCCUCGGGGAAAACAUCUGGAAACUCGCGCACCACUGGAACCUCCUGCAAUGUCUUCGGUCUCUCGGAACUCUCCCGCGUAUCCAUCACAUACGCCACGAAACCGUUACAUCCCCGCUGUAGGCAUUGCCUCGCCCUAGCAGCCGAACAAAAAGCUGAUCUCGAACGGGUACCCUCGCCGUACACCGUAAGAACUCCCCCACUAGGGUCUCGUAUAGUCACCAACUGACGCUCGCAGUCGAUGACAGCGCUGAAUCGGCUCAACCAGUCCAUGCCUACAAUGACACAGACAUCACCCAUCGCAAUAGGAAUUAGGUCAAUCGGAAAUGCGACCCCGAAGAUCUCUAGCACACAUCCCCGAAAAACCUCCGUAGCACAAAUCACCCUCUCAGCCGCAAUGGAAACGCUCAAAGGCCGACUUAACGGCUCACGACUAAUGCCGAUGUGCUGACUAAAAGCUAACGAUACAAACGAUCUACUCGCACCCGAAUCAAAUAAUACUAGAGCAGGCAUAGAGUUCACAAGGAAAGUACCUACACAUACAUUAACAUAAGCAUAACAUUUCGACCUUUAAUUAAAUACAUGAAAGAUAACAUACCUGCCACCACAUCGGGCGCAGCGCGGACCUCCUCCGCAGUCAGCUGAAAGGCUCUCCCGCGAGCCCUCGGGGCCUCGACCUUCACCGGUCGGGUCUCAGUAGUCCGGGUAGUAGGUGUAGCUCCCUGACGAAGUUGCGGGCACUCGGCCUUCCGAUGGCCUGUCUGGUUGCAGUGAAAACAAACCAUAAACCCCUUAGGGCAAUCCCUGGCAAUAUGUCCGUCCUUGCCACACUUGUAGCAACCACCAGUUCGACACGCCCCCUCGUGACUUUUGCCGCACUUCGCGCAAGUGCGACCCUUCGAACCUCCCAUCCUCGAAUCAGCGAACUUAAUCCGCUUGGCUGCCGGCUGAGACUGGGCCGGCCGUCGAUCCACCUGCCGAGACUCAGCCUCCUCCCUCGCUUGAGUCUCCAACUCAAUCUCGCGCUUCCUGGCGUUCGCCUGAAGCUCAGUGAAAGUACGAUAGGUGGAGUUUGACACAAACUCCCGAAUCUCCCUCUUCAAAACACCCAAAUAGCGGCUCAUCCGCGACUGCUCCGUAGAUACCAGCUCGGGGCAGAACAUUGCCCUCUCAUGAAACUUCCGUGUGAUCACUGCCACGGAAUCAGUACCCUGCUUAAGGGUCAAGAACUCCUGAAUCAACCGCUCCCUCUCUACCGGGGGAACGUACUCAUCCCUGAACAUCUCCGUAAACCUCUCCCAUGUCACUGCCGUAAUCUCUGCCUGAGUGAAGUUCACCGUCACGAACUUCCACCAAUCCUUCGCUCCCAGACGGAGCUGGUUCAAGGCGAACCGUACCCUCAAGUGUUCCGGGCAUGAGCAAGUAUAGAAGCACCCCUCGAUGUCGGCGAUCCACCUCAUGGCUGCAAUCGGAUCCUGCGUCCCAUCAAAUUCAGGGGGUUUCGUGUUGCUGAAUUCCCUGAAUGGUAAUGAAUCACCCCCUUGCGGCCUGGCAGCAGCCACCGCUGCGGUAGCGGCAGCAACUGCAGCUUCAGAAAUUGCGGCGCACCGCUCCUCAAACUCCUCCAUCAACGUGGUCUUAAUAGACCCAAACAUCUCCGGGAUCUCAGCCCGGACCGCCGCAGCUACCUCUUCCUGAAUAAUCUGACGAAUCUCCUCGUCACUCGCACCGCUCGAACUCGCCCCAUUGCGUGUGACAACCAUGAUGUCUCUGAAAUACAACAUAAAAUCAUCAGAGACUCCACCAAGUACAAUUGUACUCGAUACGCGCCCUACCCAGUCUCCGAUUUCCAGGGAUUCUUAUUUGAGUCUUCCACUGAUCCGGUGCCUUCGAUAGUACGGGCCCAAUACUACCGACCACACCGUAUCAGUAUUCGUCCCAAAUCUUCCUCCCCAAAUCCCGAAUAACGAGUACUCUACUUCUAGUAUGCACUAUUUACUUGCACGCUACCAAAUAUCUCAUAUAAGCAAUCUCCCUAGACUAAGGCAUCACAAAACAGGCAAUUCUAUUCCUAUCAUGUAUACCUAGUCUUCUAGCAUGCAUAACAAUUCAUAAUUCAGUGCAUAACAUAACAUCGUAAGGUAUUCUGGGGAUCUUUACCGUUCGGACGCUGGCUGCUCGUACACACUGUUCCACCCUUGUUUUUACCGCCUUGCCCUUUAUAAAAUGUUAUGUCCUUAUUAUUUUUAAGAAAAAGUUUUUCCUCAAAUCCCCGGUCUGAGUUCAGUUGCACCCAAAAGUACACCCGAAUCCCUCAAACCAAGGCUCUGAUACCAAUUGUAACAGCUCAAAUUUUCAAAUAAAUUUUUCGUUAAAAACAAAACAUCAUUAUUCGACAAAAGGGUUUAUUCCAAGUUUAUUUCAAAAUAUAAAUAAUAAAUCUCCAGGAUCUUCAACAGUGGCAGUGUGUACGUGUCACGCCGGCGCCUUUCCACGGUCAUCACUAGUACCUGAAAAACAUAAACACAACUAGUAAGCAUAAAUGCUUAGUGAGUUCCCCAGUAUACGACUUACCCACAUACGCCUUCCGGCCCGGACCUUUCGGUCCACAUAAUAUUGCCUUCCGGCCCGGACCUUUCGGUCCACAUAACAUUGCCUUCCGGCCCGGACCUUUCGGUCCACAUAACAUAUAUCGCAUAUAAGCACACAUCACAUAUAAAGCAUCUACCUCUCUAGACAUAGUAUGAAUAUAACACACACGACCUUCCGGUCUAACAGUCAAACCCUUCCGGGUGAAGUAUAGUGAGAAGACUCACCUCGUAGUACGCAGGCUAUAACCUCUUCGAGCUACUCGCACACAAUCCGCUAGUCCGCAGGUUCCCUAUAAUACCACAGCCUUAGUUAAUGAUCUUAUCAAACAAGACAACUGACCCCUCUAAGAUAUAUACAGGUCAACGGUCAAUCUUGACCGGACUCGUCGAGUGCAAAGGGUAACUCGACGAGUAUAGACAUCCUGACACCACUCGCCGAGUCUGAAGAACGACUCGACGAGUUCCAGUAGAUCUUCAAGCUACUCGCCGAGUCUGAAGAACAACUCGACGAGUCCUAGUGAACCUUCAAGCUACUCGCCGAGUCUGAAGAACAACUCGGCGAGUUCUAGUGAAUCUUCAAGCUACUCGCCGAGUCUGAUCAUUGGACUCGGCGAGUCCUCGCCAUGCAGUCAAUCCGCUGCCUCCUGUAUUUCGCAUGAUUUCGAAGUAUAUAGAUAUAGGGCUUCCUGGACUUUCACAUAUACUAUUAUAGGGGUUUUUAACACUAAUAACAACAAUAUAAUCCAACUAACCUUUGAUUGGGUUUCCUAAACCCUAAACUCGCAUACAACGUAAAAGUUACAAAUUUCGAUCCGAAGAUUACCUGGAAACGUGUUCCCUGUGUCUCCAAACCUCCAAUACUCGAUUCCUUUGAUCACCACCUUGCUCCUCCUUGUCUAACAAUCUCUUCAAGCCUUCUCAAGUCCUCUCUCUUGCUUCAGAUGCUCACACACUCCCAGGGGAUCUUCAACCGGCCAAAAGACGCGACAUGACGGCCAUAAGAUCGUUAUAUACGAUCAGAAAUGAAACGGCUAGGGUUCAGCUGAAACAGCGUCGACUCG
This 6423-nucleotide long non-coding RNA is filed under the name Lactuca sativa (garden lettuce). RNAcentral describes it as "long non-coding RNA (LSAT_LNC007371)". Lineage: Eukaryota; Viridiplantae; Streptophyta; Magnoliopsida; Asterales; Asteraceae. The record is from RNAcentral.